UACAUUCUUUACUUUUGGCUACCUCUAGCAUUUCACGUUCUUUACUUUCCAUAUUGCGUUAACUUUAAGCAUUAUCAUUUUCAGCAUUCUUUACAUUACAUUGGUUCUUUACCUCACACUAUCUCUAGUGUCUCGUUACUUUACAUUUUCAAAUGCCACUCGAUCUAUGUCAUUGUGCCACUCUGUUCUUUUGCUCACUUUGGGUACUCACAUUUUCUCUCAUGCAUACAUCUAGGGUUUUGACAUUAUUAGGUUCUCAACCAUCUCAUUAUGCAAGUUGUGCUCACAAUCAUGCAAUCAUCACAUUUCCUCAUUAC
Molecule: long non-coding RNA, 317 nt
Filed under: Ananas comosus (pineapple)
Lineage: Eukaryota; Viridiplantae; Streptophyta; Magnoliopsida; Poales; Bromeliaceae
Description: long non-coding RNA (ACOM_LNC010264)
Source: RNAcentral